GUGGGGAAUAUUCCACAAUGGACGAAAGUCUGACGGAGCAACGCCGCGUGAGUGAUGAAGGUUUUCGGACUGUAAAGCUCUGUUGUUUAGGACGAAAGUGCCUGUUGCAAAUAGUUACAGGUAUUGACGGUACUGAACGAGGAAGCCACGGCUAACUACGUGCCAGCAGCCGCGGUAAUACGUAGGUGGCAAGCGUUGUCCGGAAUUAUUGGGCGUAAAGAGCAUGUAGGCGGGAAUCUAAGUCUGUUGUGAAAAUGCGGGGCUCAACCCCGUAUUGCGAUGGAAACUGGGUUUCUUGAGUGCAGGAGAGGAAAGGGGAAUUCCCAGUGUAGCGGUGAAAUGCGUAGAUAUUGGGAGGAACACCAGUGGCGAAGGCGCCUUUCUGGACUGUGUCUGACGCUGAGAUGCGAAAGCCAGGGUAGCGAACGGGAUUAGAAACCCCUGUAGUCC
This 450-nucleotide ribosomal RNA is filed under the name uncultured bacterium. RNAcentral describes it as "partial 16S ribosomal RNA". It matches the Rfam family "Bacterial small subunit ribosomal RNA", at positions 354 to 796 of the family's 1533-position model. The record is from RNAcentral.